Echinops telfairi (small Madagascar hedgehog) is the source of this 2402-nucleotide long non-coding RNA. RefSeq lists it as uncharacterized. Lineage: Eukaryota; Metazoa; Chordata; Mammalia; Afrosoricida; Tenrecidae. The record is from RefSeq and is a predicted model, not a curated record. The transcript is spliced from 6 exons.
CUUCUGUCCCUUUGGGGAGCCCAAACUCACUCUCUCUGCUGAGCUGUGGCCCCUUCCACCUCGGGGUCCCAGAAAGACAGGGGUUCCUAGGUGGUGACCGUUCAGAAACAGAGCACCAGACCUUCUGCACAAGCGUCUCUGGGUUAGUUUGAACCGUCAACGUCUUGGAACUUGCUUUGCAAGCCCGGAGGUACCCAGCAGCGGGAUAGCGACAGGAAGACAGGGACUUCACACGGGGAAGGCUGCGUUUGGCUACGUUUGGCUACGCCUGGACUUCGGCACCUCCCGAGGCUGACUUAAGAAAAUGAAGGAGCAGCAGGGACCAUCCUCUUCCAGAGAAAUCACCCAACCUUGGAGUGAGCUUCAACCAUUGCUCUGAAACAGACCAGGAGCUUCAGCCAGCUUCUGGAUCCUUCCCCGGAGGGCGUGUGCCACGCUGCUAACCAUCCGUCCUACCUGCUGACGUCUCACGAGCAAUGUCCUGCCUAAUCUGGCUCAUGGAAAACCCUGCCCAUGAUCUUCCCCUCUGGUCCCAGCCCCUGUUUCUCUUCUCUGGCUGGGAGCCAUGUCCCUCAUUGUCCAUCUGACUAGAGGCUCAGAUUGUCCCUUUUGACCAGCUGUCCCAGCUGUCAGAUGCGAGUCCACCUACGUGCCUCUUGAACUUGGCCCUCUCAGCUUAGCUACCCACCCUCCUCAGUUCCACCAGCCCACUUACUCCAGCCAAAGAAGGGUGGCAGACUCCAGGCCAGGGCAUAGAGCCAAAUGACCAGCAGGACAAGUGCCGCCCGCCUCUUCGACACCACGCCGAUGGUGGCCAGCGGGCGCGUGAUCACCAGGUAGCGGUCCAGAGCGAUGGCUGUCAGGGUAAUCAUGGAGGUGAUGCCGAAGAGUGCCCCACAGAAGGCAUAGAAUUCGCAUCCUGUGGACACAGCACCCUGCCCUCAGUCCUCCGUAGCAAGGACAGGAAGUGCCUGGGGAAGGCGCAUGCUCACCUUUUCUCCUGCCCUCUCAGAAAGCAGACCUGGACAUUUGUCCCCCAGCAGUUAGCCGCCUCUGGCAGAAGCGGGCUGAGGUUUCCAGACUAGAACCUGAGUCUUCAGUGAUUGGAAGCAGCUACCUACUCCCUGCCUAGGAAGUUCAAACCUCUGCCCCCCGCCCCCCAGCCCCUUCCCUCCAUUGUGGUCAUAGACCACAUCCUCCCUCCAGCUAAAGGGAGCCCAGGUGCCUACCUGCCUCCCCAAAGAGCCACUGCUUGUAGAGGCUGCUGGUGAAGAAGACGGGGGCCUGGGUGAAGGACAUGAGGAAGUCGCUGACUGCGAGGUUGAUAAUGAGCAUGUUGGCCGGUGUCCGGAGGCUUCUGCUCCUGGGAACAGUCCGAGGGUGUUAGGAGGUACGUCUGCUAAAGGGCUUUCCUCAGGCCACAACCACAGAUGUGCACACACGUCGGCACACCCACCAUAUACAAAUGCAUGUGCACCCGGCAUAUGCCUACACACUGCACAUAUGUAUACACGCUUGUGUGUGCAUUUGAAAGGCCCGUGCAUGUAUGCAGGCAAAGUUGCUAGGCUACAGACCCAUCUGGCUGUCCAGCAAAUACCAGCUGAGGGUCCUUUGAGCCCAGCUGUGCUGACUGAGGGAUGAGAGACUCCAGGGCAGCAAUCAGACCUUGUUUUCUGGAGACAGCCCCCUCAGAGUACCACAGGGGAGGACUGCUCCCCCCACAGCUGCUGUGAGCCCCACUCCCAUGGAAGCUGGUUCUUGUGCUGUACCAAUUUCCUCUGGUGUUCUCUGCACGAUGCAUCUUUACUCCUUGGAUGAAACCCUUGGUCCCUCGAAGCCCUCUGGACAGAGGUCUCCCUGGGGGCUUCUCCAUUAGAUCCCUCCUGUUGUACACCCAGACCCUGCAGCUCUUGUGCUUCUAAUACCUCCCUCCAGCUUGGGUACCACCCUCAGACCUCUUCCUCCCCAAGGGUCCAGCCUGGCCGGGGCACUCGCCCAUUGCAGCUGCCCCUGCAGUGUGCACCCUCAAAGCGACCGAGGGAAGCGAACUGUGCUUGUGUCCACAGGUCAUUUGCGCUGCCUGCCCUUUCCCCAACCUCACCUCCGGCUGUCAUCCAUCUCCAUAUCCCCCUGAGGCAGGUUCUGGUGGUCCCAUUUUCCAGAGGGGACCACCGAGGCUCCGCUCACAAUGCACUUCACUGCAGACGACUGAACGUAGUCAUCCAGUGGGAGCGAAGCAUGUUGGGCUGAGGUUAUGAGAAUCUGUAAAGUGUCCGCAGGAAACUUUACAAAGCCGAAACAGGCAUGCAGGGAAGAGCAAGCUGAAAGGUUGACUGUGCUGACUACACAAUUUCUCCUCCCUCCUCCGAGCUCCUAAUAAAUGCCAGCAUGGCCUCUGUGUC